GGAGGUCGCUUAGCAGACGUUUGUGAAUGUGCCUGAUCUGGGCCGCGCUCUACUCUCAAGUCCACCCUGCGGAAGGCUCGUAUCCGCCGUGCUCGGGGGCUGAAAACUGGUCAUGGAGAUUUUGAACCAUCAAUACAGCAGCCGACAACGGGUGUGUGGUCUUGACCAACUGCUGCAAAAGCCAAUCGUGUCUGGGCGGCACCUGCGCGAAGUGGAUGGCCGACUGGAGGCGGCGCCAGCUCCGCGUGCUGACGAGCUGAGCGUGACGAUACGCCGGACGCCGGGCGCUCCUCCAU
Molecule: long non-coding RNA, 296 nt
Organism: Pollicipes pollicipes
Lineage: Eukaryota; Metazoa; Arthropoda; Thecostraca; Pollicipedomorpha; Pollicipedidae
Exons: 4
Source: RefSeq, a predicted model, not a curated record